This 468-nucleotide ribosomal RNA is filed under the name uncultured bacterium. Its description in RNAcentral is "partial 16S ribosomal RNA". It matches the Rfam family "Bacterial small subunit ribosomal RNA", at positions 28 to 507 of the family's 1533-position model. The record is from RNAcentral.
GACGAACGCUGGCGGCGUGCUUAACACAUGCAAGUCGAACGGAAAGGCCCUGCUUUUGUGGGGUGCUCGAGUGGCGAACGGGUGAGUAACACGUGAGUAACCUGCCCUUGACUUUGGGAUAACUUCAGGAAACUGGGGCUAAUACCGGAUAGGAGCUCCUGCUGCAUGGUGGGGGUUGGAAAGUUUCGGCGGUUGGGGAUGGACUCGCGGCUUAUCAGCUUGUUGGUGGGGUAGUGGCUUACCAAGGCUUUGACGGGUAGCCGGCCUGGGAGGGUGACCGGCCACAUUGGGACUGAGAUACGGCCCGUACUCCUACGGGAGGCAGCAGUGGGGGAUAUUGCACAAUGGGCGGAAGCCUGAUGCAGCAACGCCGCGUCCGGGAUGACGGCCUUCGGGUCGGAAAGCGCUUUCGCCUGUGACGAAGCGUGAGUGACGGUAAUUGGUAAAGAAGCACCGGCUAACUACGUG